Corapipo altera (White-ruffed manakin) is the source of this 1983-nucleotide long non-coding RNA. RefSeq lists it as uncharacterized. Lineage: Eukaryota; Metazoa; Chordata; Aves; Passeriformes; Pipridae. The record is from RefSeq and is a predicted model, not a curated record. The transcript has 5 exons.
UUUGUUUUGUUUUAUUCCAGUACAGUGUUUUCUCUUGUGCAUUGUUUGGACUUAUUAGAACUUGUAAGCAGAAAGUUAAGAUUUCUUUUUUGAAGGUCAGAUACCUUCUGCCAACUACACAUAUUGUUGGUGAGCCAGAUAUCUCCAAGAGAAGGCUUAGAAAGGUGGUUUGGAAGUGUUCUGGGGUUUAGCAACUGCACAGAGUAGAAACUCAUAAAAUAUAUUAUUUAGGCAGAGAAAGUUCUUUGAGUCUAAAGAAAAAAGUCUCUGGGGCUCAGAAAGAAAAGUAACAAACUCCAAAAAAAUAUUUUUUAGUUGCUCAGGGUGUAAUUCUUCAUGUAUGGUUUGCAUUGUCUGCAAAGUGCAGUAUUUGAUUCUAAAAUAGAAGCACCUCAAGUAAGUCAUUACUUGAAAUUAAUUUGGUCCUAAAUAAUUUAGGCAAGUUGAACCAUACAUAAGCCACACUUUUUUUUUAAUUUACAGUGUAAAGUUUAAAAAUGCUUUGCUGUGAUGGCAGUGUAGAAUGUGUACAGUAAGAGGGGGAUUUUUGUGCAGAUUAAUUUUAGCAUUUAUAGUCUCCUGACUUUCAACUGACUUUUUUUUUCCAAAUUGCAGUCUUAGAUUGCUGCAACAGAACAUCACCUCUAUAAACUGAAAUAAUGUAAUGAAAUCUUCUGAUUAAAUCUUGUGGAGUCUUUGCAUACCCAAUGCUCUCAGUUUGAAAGGCUGGGCUGUUGGACCCUCCUGUGACAGUGGGACAAAGGACAUUGUCGGGGAUGGAGUGUGAUGGGAAGGGCUUGAACACCUUCUGAAGCCUUGGAGAAUGAAGGAGCUGCUCUUGUUGAGAAGAAGAGAGAACAGCAAAGAAAAAGGUGUCAGAAGUUUACAAAAGCAGGAAGAGAGAAAUUAAAACAAAUCCUGUGUAAGCUGGUUUGAGUUCAGCAUUUCGCAACCGAUGUGGUUAAUUUAUAUGAUGAUGAAUGUGAGAGUAACGCCUGGUGAUUUUGACUCACUUUGGAUGAGAAGUAUGAAAGUAACCACCAGUGGGUUUGACUCACUUUUGAUUUCCUUUCAGGGCUUUUUGCUUUUAUUUUCAGGCUUAAUCACUAUUAUUGUAAAAAUAUUUGUUGUCUCCACAGAAGUUCCCCGAUGAUUUUGACUAUGCCUUGGGUGUGUCAUGUAAUGGACCCACACAUACACAUGGUUAAUUAACUGCCAGUUAAGUACAGAACUUGUUUUUUCCAAAUAUAAGAUAUACUUUUAUCCUGUCGUGCUGUGCCACUCUUAAAAUACUCUUUGAGGAAUUUACUCAAUCUUUAUUUAGAUGUGUUAAUCCUGGUAAAAAUGCAAAAAUAUUUUGGGUAGCUAAACUUAAUGAGGUAAUAAUUACUCAUUCUUGUUUAACUUCUGCUAGAUUUGGUAUCUAAAUUUGGGGCACGAAUAUAAAAUCUUUCCUGUGCCCACAUAUCCAGUUUUAAAGCACUUAGAAGAAUCCAGACUUAUUCCAGCAAUUUUCUGUACUAUAAAUCCAGAAUGAAUAUUCUGUUUCCACUUUCAAGUGUUAAAAAAUAAUUUCUUUUUUUUUCUUUCUAAGGUCUUUAUCUUAUUUAUUUCUAACAGAAUACUCAUUUAAUCACAUGGCAUUUGUGAUGACUUCUUAGUAGUGUGUACUGUUGCAGAGGUUCUAAGUUUGCAGAGUAGAGGCUUACUCUUAGUCUGAUUCUCUUACAAUUUUCUCAUAUUAAAUAUGAGAAAAAAGCUCUUUCUGAACUGAAAUCAUGGGCAUUAUUUAUAGCUUAAUUUAGAUCCGUGUAAUGUAGAAAGCAAGCAAAUUUGUUUCCAGUUUUUCACAUUGAUAAUUUUCAGUCUGUUUUAUAUUUUUCAUAAUCUUUUUAAUGUGUUGUUUUCUAUUAGCUGAGUUGUAUUAUUGCCAUUCCCGACAUCAAACCACAUGAGAGCGAGAAAUAGAGGACGGAAAGGAAA